GGAUGUGAGGGUGACCUGGCUCUGGCAUCUGCCGCCCCAGUGAUUGCCAGGUUUCCAUCACUCGGGCUGGUUAGAUGGGGGUGCCCCCUUCCUACCUCACCACCCAGUACACACCGCUCCCAAAGCUCUGUUCAAAGUGGUCGACUCCCCCUGAUAGAAAAGAACCAUUCCCUGGUCAAACCUGUCCAGAUAGCUGUGCUGUGAGAACCGCCAGACAAGUGCUUGAGGUACAUUUGCAGGAGAACGUAAGGUACCCCGAAUCUCAAGGCUCUAGACACAUCCAAAUGAGACAUUGCAUGUGGCAGUCUGCCUUUGUUU
RNAcentral lists this small nuclear RNA (318 nucleotides) under Jaculus jaculus (lesser Egyptian jerboa). RNAcentral describes it as "7SK RNA (ENSJJAG00000001264.1)". It matches the Rfam family "7SK RNA". From Rfam's summary of the family: 7SK was discovered as an abundant small nuclear RNA in the mid-70s but a possible function has only recently been suggested. Two independent studies have found that 7SK RNA binds the CDK9/cyclin T complex (known as elongation factor P-TEFb). Lineage: Eukaryota; Metazoa; Chordata; Mammalia; Rodentia; Dipodidae. The record is from Rfam by way of RNAcentral.